RNAcentral lists this long non-coding RNA (491 nucleotides) under Capra hircus (goat). Its description in RNAcentral is "lncRNA (ENSCHIG00010019314.1)". The record is from RNAcentral. Lineage: Eukaryota; Metazoa; Chordata; Mammalia; Artiodactyla; Bovidae.
CAGAGUGGAUUGAGAAUUUAUAUUUUUCUAGAAGCUUCCCCCUCCUACAGCCUGGCUUUUCUAUAAAGGCACCCUUUCAGAACUGCCCACCUCCAGGCUUGAAAACUCUGAAAUUCCCUUUUCCAACCACAACCUCCAGGCUCUCCGCUGGUGUCGUCCCUAGAAUGAGUGAUGUGGGCGCCCAGUCGUGCACGGAGCAGGAAGUGCACGUGUUCGGGGGGCGUGACAGGUCCCCAACUCUGAAGCAGCUGGGUGCUUGGAAGGCCACACUAUCCCCAAGGAGCAGGCCCAGCCAGGAGAAGGUAAGGGAUGGCGUGGAGCCCUCCAGAGCCUGCAGCGUGAGCACCAUCUGCAGCCCGUUGGACCUGGAGCCUUCAAGGCGGGACUGCGUCACCGGGGAGACUCAAGAGGAAUCGAUACUUCGGCCCCCAGUGACAUGUACACGGUGUAAUGACAGGAAAUGAGCAGGUUUGCACAGAAACUGCUGGCCU